This 1721-nucleotide long non-coding RNA is filed under the name Homo sapiens (human). RNAcentral describes it as "HSALNT0308600". The record is from RNAcentral. Lineage: Eukaryota; Metazoa; Chordata; Mammalia; Primates; Hominidae.
UGGAGUCUGAUGACCAAGGGCAGGAAGCAUCCAGCACGGGACAAAGAAGAAAGCCAGAAGACUCAGCAAGCCAGCUCAUCUCACUUUCUUCUGCCUACUUUGUUGUAGCUGAGCUGGCAGCCAGUUGGAUGGUGCACACUCACAUUGAGGAUUGGGAGGCUGCUGUGUAUGGAUAAGAUACCUGCUACAGCCAGCUUGACACCAUGAGAAGGACAAGAGAAUUGCAGAGACACAUAUCCAGGAUUCUGAUCCAGUUGAGGCACUGAAAUAAUCUAGAACCACCUUCAAAUUUCUUAUAAAGAGAGCUAUGCUAUUAGGAUUUAAUUAAAUGGAUGCCAACAGCAAGUAAACCAUCUCCAAAGAUGCCAUGAAGCUCUCCUAAUUGCAGGAAAAUAUCAGAGGCACUUGAUUUGAGUCUUUCAAGUACGGAAAUAACAAAUUCAGUCUCAACAGACCUAUAGUGAAUGAGAAUGAUUGUCACAUAAUGUGUAGAGAAAAUGGAAGAAUCAAAGGCAAGGGAAACCUGUACAGUGGAGACACAAAGGGUCACUGGCAGAUUUCAAAUGAUCCAAGACAUCCUCAAGGAAGAUUUACCACAAGUUACUUUAUCAUAGCUUUGAGUGGCAUUUUAAUAUCAUAUUUUAAAAGAAAGAAAACAAUAGAAAUGUAUUAAAAUAUCUUCUCAAGAAUCCUUCCAAACCACAAGGAAAAUCACCAGGCCAAAAGUGAGGUUUGAAGUCUGGACAUGUACUGGUUUUCUCUAGCAAUCGACUCUCAAUUUUUGGACAUUGAGAUCUGCUGGUUGGAGAUCUUAGUGCCCAAGGAAGAAUGCUUGCAAAAGGAGAUGGAACAGUGUUUCUGUUGCAUUGGCCACUGAGAAUAUCUGGUUAUUUUGAAUUUGUCACAGUCUGCAGCUAAAAGGCGAACAGGAAAAGAAGAGAGAGCGGUAAUUUGAAUGAUAGCAGAUUUCACAUCAGGAACCAAUGAAGCUAGAUAAGAAUGCAACAUCUUUGAUGUCUAAAAGAAACAAAAAGCCAACCUUGAAUUCUUUAUUUAGUGAAGUUACCCUUCAGAAAUGACGGCAAAAUAAAGAUGUUUUCCAAUAAAAGACAACUAUGAGAAUUCUUCACCAGCAGUCCUAUUGUAUCAGAACAGCCAAAAGAAGUUUGUCAGCCUACAGGGAAUUAUAUCAAAGGGAAGACUUGACCUUGAAAAUGAAUGAGGAAUAUAAGAAAUUGAUAUUAUCUGGGAAGCGGCACAUGAGACUAGCAGGAGUAAAUGUUAUAUACACUGGGCCUCGCAAAAAUUCUGCAAUCACUGGGAAUCAGUAACCUGGUAGAAUGAGAAAACAACGUAAUACUGAAAAAUCAAAACACCAUCCUACAGAACUUUGAUGCAUUCAGAACAAAGCAAUCAAACAUCAAGUAAUACUCUCAAUAAAGAUGUGUAAUUAAAACAGAAGAGGAAACAGACUAACAGAAGUGAUGAAGAAUGGCAGUUCUAAGGAUGGCAGGAAUUCACUGAAUGUCUAUCUAUCAUGUAUGCUGUUGGAGGCACCUGUCUUUCAGUUCAGAGGUUAUGGAUGUAUCUAUCAUCAGUAUUUCGGGAAGUCAGGGACCCGGAACAGAGGGACUUAAUGAAGCUGUGGCAGAAGAAAAAAUUAUGAAGAUUUCAUGGACAUUUAUUAGUUCCCCAAAUUAAUACUUUUAUAAUUUCUUACA